RNAcentral lists this ribosomal RNA (305 nucleotides) under uncultured bacterium. RNAcentral's name for it is "bacterial SSU rRNA". It matches the Rfam family "Bacterial small subunit ribosomal RNA", at positions 335 to 659 of the family's 1533-position model. The record is from RNAcentral.
GGCCUACGGGAGGCAGCAGUGGGGAAUAUUGCACAAUGGGGGAAACCCUGAUGCAGCGACGCCGCGUGAGUGAAGAAGUAUUUCGGUAUGUAAAGCUCUAUCAGCAGGGAAGAAGUUGACGGUACCUGAGUAAGAAGCCCCGGCUAACUACGUGCCAGCAGCCGCGGUAAUACGUAGGGGGCAAGCGUUAUCCGGAUUUACUGGGUUUAAAGGGUGCGUAGGCGGGCUUUUAAGUCAGCGGUAAAAAUUCGGGGCUCAACCCCGUCCGGCCGUUGAAACUGGGGGCCUUGAGUGGGCGAGAAGAA